This 1206-nucleotide long non-coding RNA is filed under the name Taeniopygia guttata (zebra finch). RNAcentral's name for it is "lncRNA (ENSTGUG00000022900.1)". The record is from RNAcentral. Lineage: Eukaryota; Metazoa; Chordata; Aves; Passeriformes; Estrildidae.
AUGAACAAAGAAAGGAAAAACCAGUUUGGGCUCCCAGUUCAUCCCAGUUCAUCCCAGUCCGUCCCAGUUUGGCUCAGGCGGUGCCCGGGGGCGGCUCUGGGGGGGGUUGGGGCCCUCCCAGUUGCUCCCAGUCCGUCCCAGUUUGGCUCCCGGUCUGUCCCAGUUGCUCCUGGUCCGUCCCAGUUUGUCCCAGUUGCUCCCAGUCCGUCCCAGUCUGUCCCAGUCCCAGCAGCUCCCGCAGGUCCGGGGGCAGCGCCUGGGGGAGGGGCGGGGUCAUUUGAGGUCACUUUUGGGGCAUUUGGGUCACUCGGGGGUCACUGGGGUCACCUGAGGUCACCCAGGGGCCACUCAGGGUCCUUUGAGGUCAUCCAGGGGUCACAUCAGGGUCACCCAGGGGUCACUUUGGGGUCAUUUGAGGUCACUUUUGGGGCAUUUGGGUCACCCAGGGGUCACUGGGGUCAUCCAGGGGUCACUUUGGGGUCACCUUGGGUCACUUUGGGGUCACUUGGGUCACUUUGGGGUCAGCCUGGGGUCACCCAGGGGUCAUUUGGGGUCACCCAGGGGUCAUUUGGUGCCAGUCUGGGACACUGGGGACACUCAGGGGACAUUUUGGGGACAUUUGGGGACAUUUUGGGGACAUUGGUGACAUCUGGGGACACCCAGUGACAUUUGGGGUCAUUGGGGCAUUGGGGACAUUUGGGGACAUUGGGGACAUUGGGGACAUUGGGGACACUCAGGUGACACUUGUUGACACUUGGGGACACCUGGAGACAUUUGGGGCCAUUCUGGUGACAUCGGUGACAUUGGGGACAUUUGGGGACAUCUGGGGCCAUUUGGGCCAUUUUGGGGCCAUUUGGGGACAUUCUGGGGACAUUCUGGUGACAUUUUGGGGCCAUUUUGGUGACAUUUUGGGCCAUUCUGGGGCCAUUUGGUGACAUUUUGGGACAUUUGGUGACAUUGGUGACAUUGGUGACAUUUGGUGACAUUGUUGUGUGUCACUGACCCGAGUGGCCGCCACCCGCAGGAGUCCCUCAGCGCGACGCAGCAGCUCCGGAACUGCCACCACCGGGGACAGCUGGGGACAAGGGACAUGGGACAUGGGGACAGUGCCACCACCCUGUCCUGGUGUCACCCCAGUGCCACCAGCGUGUCCCUGUGCCACCAACCCUGUCCCUGUGUCACCCACCGCCACCAACGGGGACAGCU